UCUAUUGUGUAAAACUCAGCAAACUAUAAAGGCUAGAAUGGUGUAGUGAUGAUGGCUAGACAAUGGGUGGUUGGCCAACUCCUAAUUAGCCAAUGUUUCCUUCCAUUAUACCAUAGGUUCCAACCUCAGUGUAAAUUGAAUGCCAAGUCCAUCAUUCCUCUAUAAAUGGCAGCUAUGUUCUUGAAAUCACGUUGUUGAGAAAAAUGUCUGUCAAAUAUUGAGUUUGAAUAUUUGAGUUGCUGGUGAUUUAGGAGGAGUCUAGCAAUCUCAGAAGGGGGGAAAUUAAGCAAACUAAGCAUUCAAGAGGUAAUAAUGCUAACCUAUAUGCUUUUAAAUUCCUAAAUUUUGAAUUCCUAGAAAAGUAUAUAGAAACAGUGCUUAGUCCAAAAAUUGAUGUCUAAGGAUUGUUAUAAUCCAUGAAUUGAUGUUAGGUACUAUUAAGAUAGUCAAAUACGAAAUCAACGGAAGUUAAAUGAACCAAUU
This 483-nucleotide long non-coding RNA is filed under the name Panax ginseng (ginseng). RNAcentral describes it as "long non-coding RNA (PGIN_LNC013617)". The record is from RNAcentral. Lineage: Eukaryota; Viridiplantae; Streptophyta; Magnoliopsida; Apiales; Araliaceae.